This 551-nucleotide unclassified non-coding RNA is filed under the name Bombus terrestris (buff-tailed bumblebee). Its description in RNAcentral is "misc RNA ENSBTSG00005034765.1". The record is from RNAcentral. Lineage: Eukaryota; Metazoa; Arthropoda; Insecta; Hymenoptera; Apidae.
CGAAUUGACAUACACAAUGUAUGGGAGCUUAUCAAUUUGCCAGUUUUUCACAACAUGAAUGAGUAGAAUCAUUAACCAUAUAUAUGUCACGGAUGUAUGUACAAAUUAUAGGACUGGCGUUACAUAUCUAUCGACGCCUUCAAAUCAGUCAUAAUCAUGAAUAUUGAACAGGAAGUGAAAAAAUCUUGGAACAGAAGAAUAUACAAGAAAAAGUAUGAAAAAUAUGCUUCGUCGUUAUUUCUAAGGAAAUCCAACGCUCAGCAUUCGGAAGAAGCUCGUUUCGAAGUCAACGUGGAGAAGCGACUCCGUUGAAAACAGUGGACGUUUUGGUUGGAAACGCGGUUUGGCCUAACUCCGAGGAAUCUGGACCGAAACUAUCUUCGAACUGCUGGCAAGACAGUUUGCCUGGAACUGGAAUUCUCUCUCUCUUUCUGUUUCUCUCUCGGGGAAACUAUCCAUUUCGUUUCUUCAUACUCUCUAUAUCGGUCCGUUUGCACACUACCCUCCGCUUCUCCCUUAUCCAUCUUCAAAUCCUCGACUUGCCAAUUUUC